AACGAACGCUGGCGGCAGGCCUAACACAUGCAAGUCGAGCGCCCCGCAAGGGGCGCGGCGGACGGGUGAGUAACGCGUGGGAAUAUGCCCUUUGCUACGGAAUAGUCUCGGGAAACUGGGGGUAAUACCGUAUACGCCCUUUGGGGGAAAGAUUUAUCGGCGAAGGAUUAGCCCGCGUUGGAUUAGGUAGUUGGUGGGGUAAUGGCCUACCAAGCCGACGAUCCAUAGCUGGUUUGAGAGGAUGAUCAGCCACACUGGGACUGAGACACGGCCCAGACUCCUACGGGAGGAGGAGGGGGGGAACUUUGGACAUGGGGGCAACCCUGAUCUAGCCAUGCCGCGUGAGUGAUGAAGGCCUUAGGGUUGUAAAGCUCUUUCAGCUGGGAAGAUAAUGACGGUACCAGCAGAAGAAGCCCCGGCUAACUCCGUG
Molecule: ribosomal RNA, 430 nt
Filed under: uncultured bacterium
Lineage: Bacteria
Description: partial 16S ribosomal RNA
Rfam family: Bacterial small subunit ribosomal RNA
Source: RNAcentral